Pogoniulus pusillus (Red-fronted tinkerbird) is the source of this 593-nucleotide long non-coding RNA. RefSeq lists it as uncharacterized. The transcript has 3 exons. The record is from RefSeq and is a predicted model, not a curated record. NCBI's taxonomy places the organism in Eukaryota, Metazoa, Chordata, Aves, Piciformes, Lybiidae.
GUUUUACUUGAGCGCUUGGGUCUUUCUUUACAAAGAAAACGUCAAGGAAGCCUCUGCUGAGAUGACUACAGAAAGACAAUGCUUCCAGAAUUGGGAAGAGAGACAGGAAGAUGCUUCAAAAGUGAGAAUUUGAAAAGGUGCAAUGAAAACAAGCAAGGGAGAGGUCUUCAGUGGAGGCUACUGGAACCUGACGGAGCUUUGUGACGAGUCUCUGUGUCUGCACUCCAUGCACACUGGGGAAACAUUUGCAAACUGUCACAGAUUAACAUGGACAGUAUGGACAGAAAUUAAGAGUUGCUUGUAAAUAUAGAAACCUGAAGCCACAUCCAUAAUAGACUCCAUACACAAAUUACUUAUCAAUAUUGCUACUUGCAUUCGGUGUGAUAAGUGGCAAAUCUCUAACUGCAGAAUUUAAAACAAAUAAGUAAAUGGACCAGACAGUCAAAUACUGCAGAGAUGCAGUCAAACCUCAGAGAUACAGGAGAUAAGAAGGGUGGGGGGAAGCCAAAUCUCUUCAAUCUUUGCAGAUGCUGUCAUGCUUCUCUGAGGUUGUACUAAAAAAAGUCUUGUUUCUGCUCUCCAUUGCCCUUGAA